CCACCCCUUCAGCCUCACCUCCAGUGCAACAUGUAUAGAAACUCACUAACCCAUUCAAACUAGAUCAGUGAAGAAUCACUUAUGGUGAGAUCCUCCUCAUCUCUUGCUCUGUUAUUCUCUUUUUGGUCUUUUUCAUCUUUCUUCCGAAUUUAGUUACUUCUGUUGGGUGCUCUGGUUGCUGCGUUUCUAGAUUUUUUAGGGAAAAUAGUUUUGGAUGGGACGCCAAACCAUGUUGAACGUGAUUCAGGAGGGAUGACAAGAUCAGUUCUGGCAGCUUCCUUAGUCGCUUGAUGAAUCUUUUCCCGUCCAUUCCUAACUAUCUCUCUUUCUCUUCGUCCACUUCUCAUCAGCCUCUCCUUUGAGCACUCGUCCUUCCUGGGCAUGAGAUUCAGAUAGAACAUUGAGGAGAGUGCAAUUAUCUGGGUGGGUUAUAUGGCUACGGAGGAGCUGGCUUUCAAUAAGGAAUGUUAUGUACAAUUGAUAUACUAUUAAUACAAAAUAUUGACAUAUAUAGUUGGAACUUUAAACUUGAAAUUUGGUCGAUAAGUGUCUACCGACCAUCCUACUUUCACCAUGUGUGUACUCGUCCAUAAAAAACCAACAUGUAGACAACAAAUUAAACGACUAUAGAUGAGUAUAACUACACGCACCCGUGUAAAUAAAGUGUAUGGCGUCGAAAAAAAGUGUGUGUAGUUUACUAUAACGAUAAAGUGUCCAUCUUAUCCUUUUGGUGCUUUGUUCGUGAGCAUGAAG
This 753-nucleotide long non-coding RNA is filed under the name Linum usitatissimum (flax). RNAcentral's name for it is "long non-coding RNA (LUSI_LNC002653)". Lineage: Eukaryota; Viridiplantae; Streptophyta; Magnoliopsida; Malpighiales; Linaceae. The record is from RNAcentral.